AGGGUUGUAGUUAAUUAUAACAUUUGGGUUGCAUUCAAAAAGUAUUGACUAAAUCAAUCAACCUUA
RNAcentral lists this transfer RNA (66 nucleotides) under Chorthippus nemus. RNAcentral's name for it is "tRNA-Ala". Lineage: Eukaryota; Metazoa; Arthropoda; Insecta; Orthoptera; Acrididae. The record is from RNAcentral.